This 253-nucleotide ribosomal RNA is filed under the name uncultured bacterium. RNAcentral describes it as "partial 16S ribosomal RNA". It matches the Rfam family "Bacterial small subunit ribosomal RNA", at positions 524 to 776 of the family's 1533-position model. The record is from RNAcentral.
GACAGAGGGGGCAAGCGUUGCUCGGAAUCACUGGGCGUAAAGGGCGCGUAGGCGGGAUGGCAAGUCGGUCGUGAAAUCCUUCGGCUCAACCGAAGAACGUCGGCCGAUACUGCCGUUCUUGAGGGAUGCAGAGGAGAUUGGAAUUCCCGGUGUAGCGGUGAAAUGCGCAGAUAUCAGGAGGAACACCGACGGCGAAGGCAGCACUCUGGGCCGGUACUGACGCUGAGGAGUGAAAGCAUGGGGAGCGAACAGG